UUGAAAUACGGGGCCCCGUACAAUCACCGAAGUUAAGCAACGUCGAGCAUGGUCAGUACCUAAAUGGGUGACCGUUUUGGAAUGCCAGGUGAUGU
Non-coding RNA from Acanthosepion pharaonis, 95 nucleotides. NCBI's taxonomy places the organism in Eukaryota, Metazoa, Mollusca, Cephalopoda, Sepiida, Sepiidae. The record is from the annotation of a GenBank genome assembly.